GAGCCGGUAGCUCAGGCGGUAGAGCAUCUGCCUUUUAAGCAGAGGGUCCUGGGUUCGAGUCCCAGCCGGCUCACCA
This 76-nucleotide transfer RNA is filed under the name Acidobacteriota bacterium. Its description in RNAcentral is "tRNA-Lys". It matches the Rfam family "tRNA". From Rfam's summary of the family: Transfer RNA (tRNA) molecules are approximately 80 nucleotides in length. Their secondary structure includes four short double-helical elements and three loops (D, anti-codon, and T loops). Further hydrogen bonds mediate the characteristic L-shaped molecular structure. tRNAs have two regions of fundamental functional importance: the anti-codon, which is responsible for specific mRNA codon recognition, and the 3' end, to which the tRNAs corresponding amino acid is attached (by aminoacyl-tRNA synthetases). tRNAs cope with the degeneracy of the genetic code in two manners: having more than one tRNA (with a specific anti-codon) for a particular amino acid; and 'wobble' base-pairing, i.e. permitting non-standard base-pairing at the 3rd anti-codon position. The record is from RNAcentral. RNAcentral also lists the same sequence under 1 other name. Lineage: Bacteria; Pseudomonadati; Acidobacteriota.